Molecule: non-coding RNA, 878 nt
Organism: Drosophila melanogaster (fruit fly)
Lineage: Eukaryota; Metazoa; Arthropoda; Insecta; Diptera; Drosophilidae
Source: Ensembl
GCGCGUUUUCCAACUGCUCCGGUCCAGCGGACAGGCGACGCUCGAAUUUCGCACGUCAGACAUUGUAGAGCUUUGGCGAGUGCUAAGAAGUGUAUGUAUGAGGAGCUAUCGUUCACCAAACUCCACUCGAAAAUCAAAAGUGAAAUUAUUCGAAAAAUAUAUCAUAAAAGUAUCAGUUUCUGUGACGUCCCGCGAGUGUUGAAUUAUUUUUUGAGUGCUUUGUGCGGGUGUAGCGCACUGUUUUGGCUAUAUUUUGUUGGAGUUCAAUGUGUGAGUGCAAAUUCGGAAACAGAAAGUGCAGCCCUCAAAAUACAACACACGUACCAGUUUUCUCGGAGCCGUAGAGUCCGAGGCAAUAGAAUAAGCGAUCCACAAUCACGAGUCAAUGUGUGAAGGCGGACUCUUCAGCGGCUGUGAAGGAGAGUAAUUGAUAAUAUUGAAUGCUGGCAGGACAUUGCCGAGUGAAAUCCAUUAUUCCGUGAAUGCCACGUGACCGUAAAGGUGAGUUGAAAAUAUUUUUAAUACGCUGCACCCAUCUAGGGAAUUGCCGACGGCUAAGACACAGAUACGGAUACGCGGCCGUAGAUACAGAUACAAAUACCAGGCCGAGAUACUCAUCCGAGACAGCUGUCUUGGCAUCUUAAGUGACCGCCCCGCUCCGCACCGCUCCGCCCCACCCCACACUAGCACUGUGAUAACAUAAGCAAUCGACCCAAAAACUUGGUCAAUUGGCAAUAAAAUCAAACGCGAAAAAAGUUCAAGAGCAGCGACAGCUCCAGUAAAAGGCAUGGAUGUGCGGAAACCGGAGUACGAGGGCUGGAAAAGUUCCUAGAUAAAGUCCAAGCGUGACUGGCAUUGAAAAACCAAGCUGGUCCCCG